GAGAAGUUAGAACACAGAUACUAAGUUCUGUUCGUCAUUUGUCCGGUGACCAACGUAUAAAUGAAGUUCUGUUUGUCACUUGUCUGGGGAGGACUGCUAUUUCUAUUUCUGUUUGAAUAGGAAAUAAGUCAUGCUUUGGAACUGCUACCAUCAUUUUGAGGAAUUUUACUUUUAUGGUUAAUUAAAUGCAACUAGUUGUUUUAUGGUCUGUUGAAACUUUUGUGCAUCCUGAAUCUUGUGCUGAAUUGGAGUCUGCAAAAUAGUUCAUCAUACACACCAUUU
This 282-nucleotide unclassified non-coding RNA is filed under the name Hevea brasiliensis (rubber tree). Lineage: Eukaryota; Viridiplantae; Streptophyta; Magnoliopsida; Malpighiales; Euphorbiaceae. The record is from RNAcentral.